UUGAACGCUGGCGGCAUGCUUUACACAUGCCAGUCGCACGGCAGCGCGGGCUUCGGCCUGGCGGCGAGUGGCGAACGGGUGAGUAAUACAUCGGAACGUGCCCAGUAGUGGGGGAUAGCUCGGCGAAAGCCGGAUUAAUACCGCAUACGACCCGAGGGUGAAAGCGGGGGAUCUUCGGACCUCGCGCUAUUGGAGCGGCCGAUGGCAGAUUAGCUAGUUGGUGGGGUAAAGGCCUACCAAGGCGACGAUCUGUAGCUGGUCUGAGAGGACGACCAGCCACACUGGGACUGAGACACGGCCCAGACUCCUACGGGAGGCAGCAGUGGGGAAUUUUGGACAAUGGGCGAAAGCCUGAUCCAGCAAUGCCGCGUGUGUGAUGAAGGCCUUCGGGUUGUAAAGCACUUUUGGCGGGAACGAAAAGGACUGUGCCAAUACCACGGUUCGAUGACGGUACCCGCAGAAUAAGCACCGGCUAACUACGUG
This 483-nucleotide ribosomal RNA is filed under the name uncultured bacterium. Its description in RNAcentral is "partial 16S ribosomal RNA". It matches the Rfam family "Bacterial small subunit ribosomal RNA", at positions 29 to 507 of the family's 1533-position model. The record is from RNAcentral.